UUGAACGCUGGCGGCAGGCCUAACACAUGCAAGUCGAGCGGUAGCACAGAGAGCUUGCUCUCGGGUGACGAGCGGCGGACGGGUGAGUAAUGUCUGGGAAACUGCCUGAUGGAGGGGGAUAACUACUGGAAACGGUAGCUAAUACCGCAUAAUGUCGCAAGACCAAAGUGGGGGACCUUCGGGCCUCAUGCCAUCAGAUGUGCCCAGAUGGGAUUAGCUAGUAGGUGGGGUAAUGGCUCACCUAGGCGACGAUCCCUAGCUGGUCUGAGAGGAUGACCAGCCACACUGGAACUGAGACACGGUCCAGACUCCUACGGGAGGCAGCAGUGGGGAAUAUUGCACAAUGGGCGCAAGCCUGAUGCAGCCAUGCCGCGUGUGUGAAGAAGGCCUUCGGGUUGUAAAGCACUUUCAGCGGGGAGGAAGGCGGUGAGGUUAAUAACCUCAUCGAUUGACGUUACCCGCAGAAGAAGCACCGGCUAACUCCGUGCCAGCAGCCGCGGUAAUACGGAGGGUGCAAGCGUUAAUCGGAAUUACUGGGCGUAAAGCGCACGCAGGCGGUCUGUCAAGUCGGAUGUGAAAUCCCCGGGCUCAACCUGGGAACUGCAUUCGAAACUGGCAGGCUAGAGUCUUGUAGAGGGGGGUAGAAUUCCAGGUGUAGCGGUGAAAUGCGUAGAGAUCUGGAGGAAUACCGGUGGCGAAGGCGGCCCCCUGGACAAAGACUGACGCUCAGGUGCGAAAGCGUGGGGAGCAAACAGGAUUAGAUACCCUGGUAGUCCACGCCGUAAACGAUGUCGAUUUGGAGGUUGUGCCCUUGAGGCGUGGCUUCCGGAGCUAACGCGUUAAAUCGACCGCCUGGGGAGUACGGCCGCAAGGUUAAAACUCAAAUGAAUUGACGGGGGCCCGCACAAGCGGUGG
Molecule: ribosomal RNA, 915 nt
Filed under: Klebsiella pneumoniae
Lineage: Bacteria; Pseudomonadati; Pseudomonadota; Gammaproteobacteria; Enterobacterales; Enterobacteriaceae
Description: bacterial SSU rRNA
Rfam family: Bacterial small subunit ribosomal RNA
Source: RNAcentral